GGAGUAAUGGCUGCUAGUUGGCUCUGGUUGGGGGGGAGAUUAUACCAUUUGAGUCUUAUUUUAUUCUCAUUUAAUUCUUCAGGUCCCCGAGGUGAAGCUCUGCAGCAUGGCCAGUCUGGGACACUGCCUCACUUCCUGGAGGAGCCUGUUGAUGCUUACAUCAUCAAGAGUAACCCCAUCAAACUCCGGUGUCAAGCUCGGCCUGCUCUUCAAAUCUUCUUCAAGUGCAACGGCGAAUGGGUCCACCAGAGCCAGCACAUGUCGCAGGAGCACACCGACAUGGGGACAGGGCUGAAGAUCCGCGAGGUGAUGAUCAACGUGUCACGUCAGCAGGUGGAGGACUUUCAUGGACCCGAGGAUUACUGGUGUCUGUGUGUCGCCUGGAGUCACCUGGGAACCUCCAAGAGCCGCAAGGCAACUGUCCGGAUCGCCUACCUGAGGAAGAACUUUGAGCAGGACCCCCAAGGCACUGAGGUGCCUCUGAAUGGCAUGAUUGUGUUGCACUGUCGUCCCCCAGAGGGAGUGCCUGUGGCUGAGGUGGAAUGGCUGAAAAAUGAAGAACCUCUUAACUCUGACGGUGCCAUUGAUACAAGAGGCGACCAUAAUCUCAUCAUCUCUGAAGCCCGUCUCUCUGAUUCCGGAAACUAUACCUGUGUUGCCAGCAACAUUGUGGCCAAGAGACGCAGUGCCACUGCCACUGUUGUAGUUUAUGUGAAUGGGGGCUGGUCAUCAUGGACAGACUGGUCUCCCUGUAAUGUACGCUGUGGUCGCGGUGUGCAGAAACGUUCUCGCACUUGCACAAAUCCAGCUCCUCUCAAUGGGGGAGCCUUCUGUGAGGGCAUGUCGGUACAGAAGAGCACCUGCAACACACUGUGUCCAGUGGAUGGCGGCUGGGGAGAGUGGAGCGAGUGGUCAGUGUGUAGUUCAGACUGUGAGAGGCAGCGCGGCAGAGAGUGUACAGCUCCGGAGCCCAAACAUGGAGGGCGGCUGUGUGACGGGGUGGCACUGGCUACAGACAACUGCACCGGCGGCCUCUGCACACAGAGUGUGGAGAACAGCAGCGAUGUGGCCUUGUAUUCAGGCCUUGCUGCGGGGGUGGUGACAGUGGUGCUGCUGAUCAUCGCUGUCACUCUUUACCGAAGGAGCCAGAGUGAGUACGGUGUGGAUGUCAUCGACUCCUCCGCCCUCACUGGGGGCUUCCAAUCCUUCAGCUUCAAGACCUCUCGUCAAGCAAACCCCCUGCUAAUUAAUUCAUCCAUGCAACCUGAUCUGACAGUGUCGCGUACCUACACCAGCCCCAUGUGUUUUCAGGACUCUAUUGACAAGGAGCUGAUGGCCGAGCGCUCACUCCUUGACCCAUUGCCCGAUCUCCAAGUCAAAGGUCAGUGUUAUUUCAUUGUAUCUCUAGGUGUGGCAGAAAGGGCGGAGUACCUUGUCAUGUCCCACCCUCAGACAUUUCCAAGGGGCCUGGCUCCAGACUAUAGAGGGGUCGCAGUUGGGACGACGCUGGGCAGAAGAGGCAAAAACCUUUUCACUCCGCAAGUGUCUUUGACUCCCUGCAAGCCUCUCCACAAAGCAACUGCGGUGUUUGGUCAUGCUGGAGGCAGGCUGGUGGUGCCUAACACAGGUAUCAGUCUGUUGGUGCCUCAUGGGGGGAUCGCGGAAGACACUACCUGGGAAAUGUAUAUGAUCAUCAACCAGGAGGACAGCAGCACUGUGUCCGAGGACGGGCCAGAGAUCUUCUUGAGCCCUACUGUCACGUACGGCCCACCAGGCCUUGACCUGUCCUGUCCCAUAGCCAUGACCAUAGCCCAUUGUGCGGAGGUGGCGGCUGAUAAUUGGACCAUCCGGCUAAAGAGACAAAUGCAGGACAACAAGUGGGAGGAAGUGAUGUCUGUGGACGAGGAGAGCACGUCCUGCUACUGUCUGCUAGACGCCCAGAGGUGCCAUGUGCUAUUGGAGCAUCCGGGUCGCUACGCCCUGGUGGGGGAGCCACUGAACCAGGAGGCGGCCAAGCGGCUGAGGCUGGCUGUGUUUGGAAGUCCGGAUAACUGCAACUCUCUGGGCUUCACCCUCAGGGUCUACUGUGUGGACGACACGCCUCAUGCAUUUCAGGAGGUGGCGGUGGGCGAGCGCAGCAGGGGCGGGCGGCUGCUGGAGGAGCCUAAAAUGAUGCUGUUUCGGGGGAACACUUUCAGUCUCCAGGUGUCCAUCCAGGACAUCCCACAGUUACUCUGGAGCAUCAAGCCUUUCACCACCUGCCAGGAGUUCUCCUUUUCUCAGGUGUGGGCCAGUAACCAGCGUCCCCUGCAGUGUGCCUUCUCUUUGGAGCGAUACAACCACUCCUCGUCUCAGCUCUCCUGCAAGAUCGGCAUCCGCCAAGUCAAAGGCGAGGAGCAGAUUCUCCAGGUCUAUACGUCUGUGGUGGAGAAUGAAAAGGGAGUGGUUCCCUUUUUCACUCAGUCAGACUGCACCAUCACCUCUCAGACAGGGUCAAGGGCCUUUAAAAUCCCUGUGUCCAUCCGUCAGCGGAUCAGUGCCACCUUUGACACCGCUAACGCCAACGGGAAGGACUGGCAGCUUUUGGCUCAAAAGCUCCACAUAGACAGGAACCUUUGCUACUUUGCAUGUCAGGAGAGCCCAUCAUCAGUGAUUCUGAGUCUGUGGGAAGCCCAGCACCAGGACUCGGGGGACCUGGACUCUCUGGCCAGUGCUCUUGAGGAAAUCGGCAAAGUCCAGUCCCCCAGGACCGCCACUCUUGGCUGCAGCAGAGAAGAACGGGACUCAGAAUUCACUUAA
Molecule: long non-coding RNA, 2799 nt
Filed under: Sander lucioperca (pikeperch)
Lineage: Eukaryota; Metazoa; Chordata; Actinopteri; Perciformes; Percidae
Description: lncRNA (ENSSLUG00000002088.1)
Source: RNAcentral